AGAAUUGUAAUUUAAUAUUAAAAUAUUAUUUUGUCAAAAUAAAAAUCUAUAAGUAGUUAUUCUG
RNAcentral lists this transfer RNA (64 nucleotides) under Paratomella rubra. Its description in RNAcentral is "tRNA-Asp". Lineage: Eukaryota; Metazoa; Xenacoelomorpha; Acoela; Paratomellidae. The record is from RNAcentral.